Molecule: ribosomal RNA, 292 nt
Filed under: uncultured bacterium
Lineage: Bacteria
Description: partial 16S ribosomal RNA
Rfam family: Bacterial small subunit ribosomal RNA
Source: RNAcentral
GUGCCAGCAGCCGCGGUAAUACGAAGGGGGCUAGCGUUGUUCGGAAUUACUGGGCGUAAAGCGCACGUAGGCGGACUUUUAAGUCAGGUGUGAAAUCCCGGGGCUCAACCUCGGAACUGCAUUUGAAACUGGAAGUCUUGAGAUCAGGAGAGGUUAGCGGAAUACCGAGUGUAGAGGUGAAAUUCGUAGAUAUUCGGUGGAACACCAGUGGCGAAGGCGGCUAACUGGACUGAUACUGACGCUGAGGUGCGAAAGUGUGGGGAGCAAACAGGAUUAGAUACCCUGGUAGUCC